UAAAUGUUAAAGGCCACCGGUUUUGAACCGGUGGAAAUUCUUUUUAUAAAAAACCCGGUCAUAUUUUCUUUUUCAUAUAUAAACCCCUUUUACUUCCCAAACCCUAGCCUCUUCUUCUCUUCUCUGAUCUCGUCCCCUCCCUCAUCUUCUCUCUCUUCUCUCAUUCUCUGAUCUCUUCUCUUGUCCCCUCCCUCCCUCUUCUCUUUCCUCUCUUUAGAUCUCUUCUCUCGUACCGCCGUUCAUUCCACCCCGCCACCGUUCUUUCCUCUAUCAUUCUUCUCCACCUUACCGUCGUUCAUUCCACAUUGCCGCCGCCGUUCUUUCAUUUCUCUCUUUUGCGACGAGGUGAGGGGUCUAUUUCUUCACCGGCGCCACAUCUUUGCAGUGGUGGUGGAUCUCUUCACGAAGGUAUGUGCUCUUCGCCUCUUCGAUUUAAAAUAUAGGGUUUCUGAUUUUUAUUUAACUUUUUUUUUUGUGAUUUUUAUGUUGCGAUGAGGUCGAUGAACAUGGUGAACAUGUUGUUCUCGAGUCCUCCAAGGUUAUGAUGGUUACAGUGGUCGUGAUCCAUCUCUCUAUCUCUUCUCGAGUCCUCUGCUUUAGAUCUUGGUUAUUGUGAUAUGGAUUCAACAAUGCUGGCUUGCAUUGCGUUCUCCUGCCCCAAUCUAGAAACCAUGGAGAUCUCUAUGUCAGAGUCAUCAAUUAACCGUAUAUCUGGGUGGCUGUUGGAAGAUGUUAUCUAUAUGCAAGGCUGCUGCUGUCUCGCCAAGGCUCGCUGUUGCAGUUGCUGCCUCGCCACGUGUUACAUUGGUGAUUUUGUGUGACUUGUAUUUAACAGUGACUUGUAUUUUUUUUUUUGGACCAAAAUUGUAAUAUUACAGCCUUAUUUUAAUGAAAAUAUGUAAGUU
Long non-coding RNA from Chenopodium quinoa (quinoa), 905 nucleotides. RefSeq lists it as uncharacterized. The record is from RefSeq and is a predicted model, not a curated record. Lineage: Eukaryota; Viridiplantae; Streptophyta; Magnoliopsida; Caryophyllales; Amaranthaceae. The transcript has 3 exons.